Molecule: ribosomal RNA, 437 nt
Filed under: uncultured bacterium
Lineage: Bacteria
Description: partial 16S ribosomal RNA
Rfam family: Bacterial small subunit ribosomal RNA
Source: RNAcentral
AGCGAACGCUGGCGGCAGGCUUAACACAUGCAAGUCGAGCGGGCAUCCUUGUGGUGUCAGCGGCAGACGGGUGAGUAACGCGUGGGAACGUGCCCUUCGGUUCGGAAUAACUCAGGGAAACUUGAGCUAAUACCGGAUACGUGCGAGAGCAGAAAGGUUUAUCUGCCGAAGGAUCGGCCCGCGUCUGAUUAGCUAGUUGGUGAGGUUACGGCUCACCAAGGCGACGAUCAGUAGCUGGUCUGAGAGGAUGAUCAGCCACACUGGGACUGAGACACGGCCCAGACUCCUACGGGAGGCAGCAGUGGGGAAUAUUGGACAAUGGGGGCAACCCUGAUCCAGCCAUGCCGCGUGAGUGAUGACGGCCUUAGGGUUGUAAAGCUCUUUUCUCCGGGACGAUAAUGACGGUACCGGAGGAAUAAGCCCCGGCUAACCUCGUG